Molecule: long non-coding RNA, 319 nt
Organism: Gavialis gangeticus (Gharial)
Lineage: Eukaryota; Metazoa; Chordata; Crocodylia; Gavialidae
Exons: 5
Source: RefSeq, a predicted model, not a curated record
CAAAUUUUUUGAUCAUAUUGAUAAAACUGUUAAGUUAUUUUAACAAGGGAAUUGUGCUGCCCAUGAGUUGUAGAGCUGCAUGAAUGACAAGGCUGAGGCAAGAGGAAAAUUAAAACCUAACUAGGUUACUGACCUCCAAGAGAAACUCAUGCUAAAAUAUGUGAGCAGACUGGGUACUUGAGAGGAGAAGGAAUGUAACAAAGGAAGCCAUACUGCCUGGUUUGGGAUGAGUGCAAGCACAAGUAUAUCACGGUUGCUCUAAAAGCAUUGGAGCAGGUCAGCAGUAGAUGAAAAGCAUUGCCAAGAAGGGGAAAACAAA